Molecule: long non-coding RNA, 3609 nt
Organism: Eriocheir sinensis (Chinese mitten crab)
Lineage: Eukaryota; Metazoa; Arthropoda; Malacostraca; Decapoda; Varunidae
Exons: 2
Source: RefSeq, a predicted model, not a curated record
AGGGCGGAGGGAGGGAGGGAAGGAGAGGAGAGAAGAAGAGGAAACUGCGUAUUGUAAGGAGGAGUUUUUAGCAUAGGGAGUAGAUAGGCCUGCUAGGAUAGAGAGGCAGAGGAAGGAAGAGGAAUUGAGCGGAAGGGAAAUGAGAAAUGGGACGAAACUGACGGAUUGAGGAAAGGAAAAUAACAUUGACGGAAGGGAAAUAAGAAAGGAAACCAAAUAACUAUAGAAGGCUUAGGGAGAAAGGAAGAGGAAUUGAACGGAAGGAAAUGAGAAAUGAGAAUCAAUUGAGAGACUAAGGAAAGGAAAAUAACAUUGACAGAAGGGAAAUAAGAAGGGAAACUAAAUAACUAUAGAAGGCGUAAGAGGAAAAGAGACUCAGAAGAAAGUAUUUACGAAGGAAGAGGAAUUGAGCAGAAGGAAAUGAGAAACGCUGGAUAAAGAAAGGAAGGGAAAAAAUUGGAGAUAAAGGAUGAUAGGGAAAGGAACGGAGGUGAAAACGAAGGGAAAGAAAGGGAGGAAGAAGCAAAGAUGAUGAAGAAAAAGAAGGAAAGAGAAGAAAAUGAAGAUGAAGAAUGAUAAGAGAAAGAAGGAGGGAAAGAAAGGGAGGAAGAGGCAAAAUAGGAUGAAGAAAAAGAAGGAAGAAGAAAAUGAAGAUAAAAAAUGAUAGGGGAACAAAGGAAGGAAUAACCAAAAAUAGAUGAAAAAGAAUAUAUAGAAAGUUAAAAAUGAAAAGAAAGAAAUAGCAAAUAUAAGAGAAUCAGUAUGAUUAGGAAAACAAGCAGAGAGGUCAAAACAAAACCUUCUACUAUUGCUAAAAGGAAAAUAUACAUGGGAAUCAAUUUACAGGAAGCGGAAAACGGGAUACCUAAUUUUGGGACUUACAGACAAGAAACAUAGACUGAAGCAUUUAAAUCUACACUCUCUAGAAAGGCGAAGGUUGCGAGGAGACUUGAUCGAAGUCUGUAAAUGGAUGAAGGGUUUUAAUAGAGGCGAUGUCAAUAAGAUUUUGGUUGUAGAAGAGCCAGGUAGGACGCAUAGGAAUGGUUUUAAGUUAGACAAAUUCAGAUUCAACAAAGACAUAGGCAAGAAUUGGAUCACCAGUAGAGCGGUGGAUGAAUGGAACAGGCUUAGCAGUCAUGUUGUGGGUGCCAAUACCAUAGAUACAUUCAAGAAGAGGUUGGAUAAAGUCAUGGAUGGUGAGGUAAGGUGGGGUUAGGAUUACAGGAGCUGCCUUGUUGUGGGUGCCAAUACCAUAGAUACAUUCAAGAAGAGGUUGGAUAAAGUCAUGGAUGUGAGAUAAGGUGGGGUUAGGAUUACAGGAGCUGCCUUGUUGUGGGUGCCAAUACCAUAGAUACAUUCAAGAAGAGGUUGGAUAAAGUCAUGGAUGUGAGGUAAGGUGGGGUUAGGAUUACAGGAGCUGCCUUGUUGUGGGUGCCAAUACCAUAGAUACAUUCAAGAAGAGGUUGGAUAAAGUCAUGGAUAGUGGGGUUAGGAUUACAGGAGCUGCCUUGUUGUGGGUGCCAAUACCAUAGAUACAUUCAAGAAGAGGUUGGAUAAAGUCAUGGAUGGUGAGGUAAGGUGGGGUUAGGAUUACAGGAGCUGCCUUGUUGUGGGUGCCAAUACCAUAGAUACAUUCAAGAAGAGGUUGGAUAAAGUCAUGGAUGGUGAGGUAAGGUGGGGUUAGGAUUACAGGAGCUGCCUUGUAUAGACCGACCGGCCUCUUGCAGACUCCUUAUGUUCUUAUACAUCAUAAUUUAAUAUAUCCACUUAACUAACAUUAGGAUAAGAGGAAUAGGCCUCAUUUUAUCUGGGUGUUUCCAUUAGCCAGGAUAACUAACACUAAUGACUACCACCUUGCCUCCAGACCUCACCUCACCCUCUUAAUCCCUCCCCUCAAACACAGCACAGGUCAACGGUACGAGUCUACGCAGCUGGCUUCUCAACUACCUUAUAUCAUUUCUCUUAUUCCCCCAUCAAUGUUUGCCUUGUUAGCCCUUAUAGUCAAUGUGUUUAGCCUGUAGCGGACACACACGUAGCCUCCCCCAAUGUGACACACUCUGUUGACACGCCACGCAGACACGGACACAUGGUAGCUCCAGACACACACCAGCGAGGAGGCGGUGAACGGUUGACUCUGUUGCUCCAGCGAUGACGAUGAUGAUUGGUCUUUAAUCUGUGGUACCCGUGAUCUGAUACGAACUUAUACAGUUUGUUUAUUUUUGUUUAUUUAUUACGGGAACGACGACACAGUUUACCGAAAGACAUGGUGACGCUGCCCUUCGUUCAGGCUUCCCAUGUACGAAAUUAUCGAUUAUCAUGUUUAUUUGUUCAUAUAUCUGUUUGUUUAUGAUGCGUGAGGAGACACCGUGGGCCAGAUUAAGGUGCCCGCGAUAUACGCCCACAAGGAAGACCGUAGAUUGUAAAAGAACGGUCAAAAUUUAGCUUCACGUGGGGUGGAAAACAAUCUGGUGAAAGAGGAAGAGAGGCAGAAGAGGAGAGACUUAAAUGAAGGUGGAAUAGGGAAGGACAGAAAUGGAUGUGUCAGAAAUAAAAAAAAAAAAGAGAAAUGGAAAGAACAAUGAUAAAGAUGGAAUAGGAAGUUGCAAAGGGGAGAUGAUGGAAGAGAUGGGGAACGGAAAAUGUGAGAGAAUGGAGAGACAGCAGAGAAGGAGAAAUGGAGUAGAGGAAGAAAAUGAGGAUAACGAAGGAGGGAAAGAGAGAUAGAGAGGAACAAAUACGUCAACAAAGAUACAGAUCCUGAACUCCAAAGAAAAUGAAAGACGCAACUAAAUGGAGGACUUAGGAAAUUGAAGAGGAGAUAACAUAAUGAAAAGAUGUUUGCUUGGUAUACAUAACUUAAUUAACGGUGAAUUCCAAAGCUGAUUAUAAGAGAAAUUCACGGAUAAUUAACAAGAAACACAAAUGCUAAACUCCGAGGAAAAUGAAGGAGACAAAAUAACAUAAUUAACGGUGAAUUCCAAAGCUGAUUAUAAGAGAAAUUCACGGAUAAUUAACAAGAAACACAAAUGCUAAACUCCGAGGAAAAUGAAGGAGACAAUAUAACUUAAUUAACAGUGAAUUCCAAAGCUGAUUAUAAGAGAAAUUCACGGAUAAAUAACAAGAAACACAAAUGCUAAACUCCGAGGAAAAUGAAGGAGACAAUUAAAAGGAGUGACUCAGUAAAGCGAAGGGAAGAUAUUUAAAAGCUGAUAAUAUGAGCGAUUUACGUAAAAAUAAAAUAGACUCAAAUGCCAAACUCCAAACGGAAACAAAAGAGACAGUUAAACGGAAUGACUCGAUUGACGGAAGAGGAAGGAUUAACGGAGGAAGUCAAAACAGCGCCCCAUCGCUUAAAAAAAACGUAAAUCGCUUCAUAAUAAACAAAGAAACACAGGACACAUAACUAAGCUCCCUCCUAAGAAACGUAACCUACUGAAAGGCUUGAAUACCUGCUCAGAGAAUGCAUAAACGUCAAACCAAAUAACUACAAUAACCAGAUAACUUAAGUCCCCCCAUUAAGAGACGCAAUUCUGAAAAACCUUAAACUCCCUCCAUCCAUUCAUUAGAGGCCAGACCAUUGUGCGUUGACCCCCAUGCGAGAAAUUUUUU